UGGUGAUUUGCAGUUUGAAUCCGCUACUA
This 29-nucleotide non-coding RNA is filed under the name Rattus norvegicus (Norway rat). The record is from RNAcentral. Lineage: Eukaryota; Metazoa; Chordata; Mammalia; Rodentia; Muridae.